RNAcentral lists this ribosomal RNA (253 nucleotides) under uncultured bacterium. RNAcentral's name for it is "partial 16S ribosomal RNA". It matches the Rfam family "Bacterial small subunit ribosomal RNA", at positions 524 to 776 of the family's 1533-position model. The record is from RNAcentral.
UACGUAGGGGGCAAGCGUUGUCCGGAAUCAUUGGGCGUAAAGAGCGCGUAGGCGGCCCAGUAAGUCCGCUCUGAAAGUCAGGGGCUCAACCCCUGAAUGCGGGUGGAUACUGCUGGGCUAGAGUCCGGAAGAGGCGAGUGGAAUUCCUGGUGUAGCGGUGAAAUGCGUAGAUAUCAGGAGGAACACCGAUGGCGAAGGCAGGUCUCUGGGCUAACACUGACGCUCAUGCACGAAAGCGUGGGGAGCAAACAGG